UAUAAAUUUACUGAAAAGGGAAUCAGGUGAAAAUCCUGAACAGACCCGCUGCUGUAAUCUCUAAUGAAAGUCUGGAACACUACUUAAUUCCACUGUUUAUCAAAACAUGAAACGGGAAGGAUGUUCUAAGAUAGAGAAAGUCAGAAGACCUGCCAUAGAUACAA
Molecule: non-coding RNA, 164 nt
Filed under: Indolivaga capnocytophagoides
Lineage: Bacteria; Pseudomonadati; Bacteroidota; Bacteroidia; Bacteroidales; Dysgonomonadaceae
Source: RNAcentral